Molecule: ribosomal RNA, 497 nt
Filed under: uncultured bacterium
Lineage: Bacteria
Description: partial 16S ribosomal RNA
Rfam family: Bacterial small subunit ribosomal RNA
Source: RNAcentral
GAUGAACGCUGGCGGCGUGCCUAAUACAUGCAAGUCGAGCGAACGGACGAGAAGCUUGCGUUUCUGAUGUUAGCGGCGGACGGGUGAGUAACACGUGGAUAACCUACCUAUAAGACGGGGAUAACUUCGGGAAACCGGAGCUAAUACCGGAUAAUAUUUUGAACCGCAGGGUUCAAAAGUGAAAGACGGUCUUGCUGUCACUUAUAGAUGGAUCCGCGCUGCAUUAGCUAGUUGGUAAGGUAACGGCUUACCAAGGCAACGAUGCAUAGCCGACCUGAGAGGGUGAUCGGCCACACUGGAACUGGGACACGGUCCAGGCUCCUACGGGAGGCAGCAGUAGGGAAUCGUCCGCAAUGGGCGAAAGCCUGACGGAGCAACGCCGCGUGAGUGAUGAAGGUCUUCGGAUCGUAAAACUCUGUUAUUAGGGAAGAACAUAUGUGUAAGUAACUGUGCACAUCUUGACGGUACCUAAUCAGAAAGCCACGGCUAACUACGUG